GUAGGGAAUCUUCCACAAUGGACGCAAGUCUGAUGGAGCAACGCCGCGUGAGUGAAGAAGGCUUUCGGGUCGUAAAACUCUGUUAUUGAAGAAGAACGUGCGUGACAGUAACUGGUCAUGCAGUGACGGUAUUCAAUCAGAAAGUCACGGCUAACUACGUGCCAGCAGCCGCUGUAAUACGUAGGUGGCAAGCGUUGUCCGGAUUUAUUGGGCGUAAAGCGAGUGCAGGCGGUCUUUUAAGUCUGAUGUGAAAGCCUUCGGCUUAACCGAAGAAGGGCAUCGGAAACUGGGAGACUUGAGUGCAGAAGGAGGAGA
RNAcentral lists this ribosomal RNA (315 nucleotides) under uncultured bacterium. RNAcentral's name for it is "partial 16S ribosomal RNA". It matches the Rfam family "Bacterial small subunit ribosomal RNA", at positions 354 to 661 of the family's 1533-position model. The record is from RNAcentral.